CCUACGUGGGGCAGCAGUGGGGAAUAUUGGACAAUGGGCGAAAGCCUGAUCCAGCCAUGCCGCGUGUGUGAAGAAGGCCUUCGGGUUGUAAAGCACUUUCAGUGGGGAAGAAAGCCUUGGGGCUAAUACCCUCGAGGAAGGACAUCACCCACAGAAGAAGCACCGGCUAACUCCGUGCCAGCAGCCGCGGUAAUACGGAGGGUGCGAGCGUUAAUCGGAAUUACUGGGCGUAAAGCGCGCGUAGGCGGUCUGAUAAGCCGGUUGUGAAAGCCCCGGGCUCAACCUGGGAACGGCAUCCGGAACUGUCAGGCUAGAGUGCAGGAGAGGAAGGUAGAAUUCCCGGUGUAGCGGUGAAAUGCGUAGAGAUCGGGAGGAAUACCAGUGGCGAAGGCGGCCUUCUGGACUGACACUGACGCUGAGGUGCGAAAGCGUGGGUAGCAAACAGGAUUAGAUACCCCUGUAGUC
This 465-nucleotide ribosomal RNA is filed under the name Vreelandella stevensii. RNAcentral describes it as "partial 16S ribosomal RNA". It matches the Rfam family "Bacterial small subunit ribosomal RNA", at positions 338 to 795 of the family's 1533-position model. Lineage: Bacteria; Pseudomonadati; Pseudomonadota; Gammaproteobacteria; Oceanospirillales; Halomonadaceae. The record is from RNAcentral.